This is a long non-coding RNA of Bacillus rossius redtenbacheri, 424 nucleotides long. RefSeq lists it as uncharacterized. The record is from RefSeq and is a predicted model, not a curated record. NCBI's taxonomy places the organism in Eukaryota, Metazoa, Arthropoda, Insecta, Phasmatodea, Bacillidae. The transcript has 2 exons.
UCGUGUAACAGGCCAAGGAAAUAUUAUUCCCAGUUGUGCAUUGUGCUGCUAUCUUAUGGUGUCCAGACAAACCAGUGUAACAUUAGGAAAGCGCGCAUAUAUACCUUCUAUUGUUGAUGUAUACAUUGUUCUAUGGCGACUACAGUAGUGUUGUGGAAAUGGAUAGCUGAUAUUUGAAGAUCAUGGCAUCUAAGAAAUUAACUUCAGAAGAAGCAUUAGCCCUAUAUUUUUCUUUGCCUGAAAAUGCAAGUGAAUCUGAAGAAGAUGGUGACACUUCAGAUGAAGAUGAACAUGAACCUUUUGUUCCAGUAACAACUAGAAAUGAAGCACAACAAUCUCCAUCUUCUUCGAGUGUCUGUGACCCAGGAACUUCUACGCAUACGCCUCAAACAAGAGGUUUUGUCCAGCAACAACAAAAAAUAAA